RNAcentral lists this ribosomal RNA (464 nucleotides) under uncultured bacterium. RNAcentral describes it as "bacterial SSU rRNA". It matches the Rfam family "Bacterial small subunit ribosomal RNA", at positions 29 to 506 of the family's 1533-position model. The record is from RNAcentral.
AUGAACGUUGGCGGCGUGGAUUAGGCAUGCAAGUCGAGCGAGAACCGUAGCAAUACGGGGACAGCGGCGAAAGGGAGAGUAACACGUGGAUACCUACCCUCGGGUUCAGGAUAGCUGCGGGAAACUGCAGGUAAUACUGAAUAACAUCUCCGGAUCAAAGGUGUGAUUCCGCCCGGGGAGGGGUCCGCGUCCUAUUAGCUAGUUGGCGAGGUAACGGCUCACCAAGGCGAAGAUGGGUAUGGGGUGUGAGAGCAUGCCCCCACUCACUGGGACUGAGACACUGCCCAGACACCUACGGGUGGCUGCAGUCGAGAAUCUUCGGCAAUGGGGGAAACCCUGACCGAGCGACGCCGCGUGCGAGAUGAAGGCCUUCGGGUUGUAAAUCGCUGUCAGAGGGGAGGAAAUGUCGGUGGGUUCUCCCAUCGGUUUGACCUAUCCUCAGAGGAAGGACGGGCUAAGUUCGU